CCUACGGGAGGCAGCAGUAGGGAAUAUUGCUCAAUGGGGGAAACCCUGAAGCAGCAACGCCGCGUGGAGGAUGAAGGUCUUCGGCUUGUAAACUCCUUUUGUUAGAGAAGAAAAUGACGGUAUCUAACGAAUAAGCACCGGCUAACUCCGUGCCAGCAGCCGCGGUAAUACGGAGGGGGCAAGCGUUACUCGGAAUAACUGGGCGUAAAGAGCGCGUAGGCGGGAUAGCAAGUCAGAUGUGAAAUCCUAUGGCUUAACCAUAGAACUGCAUUUGAAACUGUUAGUCUGGAGUAUGGGAGAGGUAGGUGGAAUUCGUGGUGUAGCGGUGAAAUCCGUAGAGAUCAAGAGGAAUACUGAUGGCGAAGGCGGCCUGCUAGAACGUAACUGACGCUGAUGCGCGAAAGCGUGGGGAGCAAACAGGAUUAGAUACCCGGGUAGUC
Molecule: ribosomal RNA, 440 nt
Filed under: uncultured bacterium
Lineage: Bacteria
Description: partial 16S ribosomal RNA
Rfam family: Bacterial small subunit ribosomal RNA
Source: RNAcentral